This 429-nucleotide ribosomal RNA is filed under the name Gemmatimonadota bacterium. RNAcentral's name for it is "Gemmatimonadetes bacterium partial 16S ribosomal RNA". It matches the Rfam family "Bacterial small subunit ribosomal RNA", at positions 355 to 776 of the family's 1533-position model. Lineage: Bacteria; Pseudomonadati; Gemmatimonadota. The record is from RNAcentral.
UAGGGAAUCUUCGGCAAUGGACGAAAGUCUGACCGAGCAACGCCGCGUGAGUGAAGAAGGUUUUCGGAUCGUAAAACUCUGUUGUUAGAGAAGAACAAGGACGUUAGUAACUGAACGUCCCCUGACGGUAUCUAACCAGAAAGCCACGCCUAACUACGUGCCAGCAGCCGCGGUAAUACGUAGGUGGCAAGCGUUGUCCGGAUUUAUUGGGCGUAAAGCGAGCGCAGGCGGUUUCUUAAGUCUGAUGUGAAAGCCCCCGGCUCAACCGGGGAGGGUCAUUGGAAACUGAGAGACUUGAGUGCAGAAGAGGGGAGUGGAAUUCCAUGUGUAGCGGUGAAAUGCGGAGAUAUAUGGAGGAACACCAGUGGCGAAGGCGGCGCUCUGGUCUGUAACUGACGCUGAGGCUCGAAAGCGUGGGGAGCAAACAGG